RNAcentral lists this ribosomal RNA (237 nucleotides) under uncultured bacterium. RNAcentral's name for it is "partial 16S ribosomal RNA". It matches the Rfam family "Bacterial small subunit ribosomal RNA", at positions 100 to 334 of the family's 1533-position model. The record is from RNAcentral.
CCGGCACGGGUGAGUAACACGUAUCCAACCUGCCGUCUACUCUUGGACAGCCUUCUGAAAGGAAGAUUAAUACAAGAUGGCAUCAUGAGUUCACAUGUUCACAUGAUUAAAGGUAUUCCGGUAGACGAUGGGGAUGCGUUCCAUUAGAUAGUAGGCGGGGUAACGGCCCACCUAGUCUUCGAUGGAUAGGGGUUCUGAGAGGAAGGUCCCCCACAUUGGUACUGAGACACGGACCAA